Molecule: long non-coding RNA, 2132 nt
Organism: Puntigrus tetrazona (Sumatra barb)
Lineage: Eukaryota; Metazoa; Chordata; Actinopteri; Cypriniformes; Cyprinidae
Exons: 4
Source: RefSeq, a predicted model, not a curated record
UGCACUUACCGACGGCAGCGUACGGCAAAGGACUUGAGGGUUUUUUUGAGGAUGUAGCGUCGGUUUGAAUGAUAGGCUUUCUAGAAGAUUACAGGCUUGGAUUGUCGCUAAGAGUGAACCGCUUCUUUCUUUGACAGAAAUGGUCUGCGGAGAGGAAAGGAGAGGUGAAAACCCAAAGCGACACGGAAUGUGAAAAAGAGGGAAGGAGAGCUUGUAAUUCCCGUCGGGUUUCAAUGCGGUCCAAAAAAACGGAGACAAAGGUGGUCUGUGGAAGACUGAGCGGUGACCCCGGCAGCGAAGAUCAUUUACAUAAUGGUGAAGACGUUUUGGAAGAAAGCUCUCAGCGCAGAAAAGAUGAUCACGGUUUGAUCUUAAGAUGUCUUGAUUGAUAUCAGCAGCCUGUGAGAGAGCAGUACUCCUGCCCACGACCGGACAGCAUGCGGGGCAUCGCUGCCAAAACACGGUGGUCUGCUCUAGUCUGAUCGGGGGAACGGGACGCUUGCAUGCAAAUCAGCUUGGCAGAGGCCUGCGUCUGACCACAAGACCAUAAGGAAACCGCCACUCACCGAUGCAAGCACAAAGGCAGGGGUCGUGACUGGUCACCCGUCCAGACGGACCUGACGUCCAGCCCGUACGCUCACACAUCCCUGCACAGCUGGGCCCAUUUCCCUGGAAGCUUGACCUUUGACCCCUGACCUUGAACUUGAGCCUGGCCUCAUUUUCCGAGCGCGGUCUGACCGCCGCGUGACACCGCAGAUGACCCUCUCCGGGUUUUCGGAAAGGGUGCAGUGGUAAUGGCAUUGAUUAGCAGGGUCUGGUGCCAAUAUAUUUCUCUCUGAAGCCGUUUUGAUAGAUGAGGCCUCGUCUAAAUAGAUGAGCGUCUGGCUGAAGAGGCAGGUGCGACGUGAAGUUAAUGUUUCUAAAGUGAUGCGGACAUGGUGGAAGGAUGCUACCGUUUGACCUCGGGGUCUCAGACGUCGCCCAAACCACCCCCCCCCCUCUCAUUUUCCCUGUGAAGCGUGCGUCUUUUGUAGUUUGCGGGAGCAAACACUAUAACCACUAGCAGCUGCUAAUUAAAACAUAGCUGUUGUCAUUUAAACAUUUGAUGACUUUGACCCUCAUCUUCUGUUUGAAGUUUUAGAGACCCCAGUGUCAAGAGUGUUAGGCCUUUAUUUAGUUGAAGUAUCUGGUUUACUUUUCCUAAUCUUGUGAGAACCGAUUAAGAAAGCUUUUAAUGAUUGCAUUAUUAAUAUAUAUAUAUAUAUAUAUAUAUAUAUUUUUUUAAGGCAUUUUUUCAUCAUUUAGAUCUUUAGGUCUUUAAGUCUUUUUACUAAACUCAAAUUAUUAUUUUGCAUAACGGGCACGUUUUUGAAAAGUGCAUGGGGUAAAAGAGGUUUUAAGCUUCAAUAAAAUCUGUAAACGGUCGUAAUAAUAGUAAAAAUGGAAUGGAAAUUAAUAGAGUGGUUUUGCAUAUUUUUACAAUUUAUUUUAUUUUAUUGAAUGCAGGUCAUUUAUUUCUUAUUUGAUCAAAAAUAUCAUGCAUCAUUCUGACAGAGAUGGCUUUUUUCCUAAAAAUCUGCACAGCCAGAAAGCCUUUUUGUCUGUCUGUCAUUUGCAUGUUAAUGUUUUCUGGGCUUGCUGACUUUAUAGGAUGAGUUUUUAGAGAUGUGUGGUUACAUUUUUUAAAAUAACUGGGUUUGGCAAAUAUAUUUAGGUCGUUAAUGUGAUUGAGAUUUGUCAGCGUAAAUUCGGCAAUGGUUCUUCAUAAGUAUUAGUGGGUAUAUCGGCUUCAUUCAGUUAGGAUCUCUUUAUGAGGAUCUCUACAGGGGCAACAGGGGAAAAUAAAUCCAACUGUCCAUUAAGGCGUCGCACUAAAUGACAGGCUAUAAUGGGAAAUGAAGUGUUCAGAGAGUGCUUAUGAUACGAGGCCCUACAGGACACCACAGAAACAUCACACUCUGUGCAUUAAUAUUUUAGAGAUCAUGCACAUAGAAACAGACUAUAUUUAAUACACAAUAAAAAAAUAUUUUACUCAUUUUUUUGUGGUUUUUAUCUAAGAUUUUUGCAUCAAAAGAGUAAUAAUUUGUAAACGCCAUUCUACCUUUGUUAAAGUCCAUUAAAGUCCAUACCAA